RNAcentral lists this ribosomal RNA (429 nucleotides) under Actinomycetes bacterium. RNAcentral's name for it is "Actinobacteria bacterium partial 16S ribosomal RNA". It matches the Rfam family "Bacterial small subunit ribosomal RNA", at positions 355 to 776 of the family's 1533-position model. Lineage: Bacteria; Bacillati; Actinomycetota; Actinomycetes. The record is from RNAcentral.
UAGGGAAUCUUCCGCAAUGGGCGAAAGCCUGACGGCGCAACGCCGCGUGAGUGAUGAAGGUCUUCGGAUCGUAAAACUCUGUUAUUAGGGAAGAACAAAUGUGUAAGUAACUAUGCACGUCUUGACGGUACCUAAUCAGAAAGCCACGGCUAACUACGUGCCAGCAGCCGCGGUAAUACGUAGGUGGCCAACGUUAUCCGGAAUUAUUGGGCGUAAAGCGCGCGUAGGCGGUUUUUUAAGACUGAUGUGAAAGCCCACGGCUCAACCGUGGAGGGUCAUUGGAAACUGGAAAACUGGAGUGCAGAAGAGGAAAGUGGAAUUCCAUGUAUAGCGGUGAAAUGCGGAGAGAUAUGGAGGAACACAAGGGGCGAAGGCGACUUUCUGGUCUGUAACUGACGCUGAUGUGCGAAAGCGGGGGGAUAAAACAGG